GCUCCGAUAGCUCAGUGGUAGAGCACUCCCUUGGUAAGGGAGAGGCCCCGGGUUCAAAUCCCGGUCGGAGCU
Molecule: transfer RNA, 72 nt
Filed under: Longimicrobiales bacterium
Lineage: Bacteria; Pseudomonadati; Gemmatimonadota; Longimicrobiia; Longimicrobiales
Description: tRNA-Thr
Rfam family: tRNA
About the family: Transfer RNA (tRNA) molecules are approximately 80 nucleotides in length. Their secondary structure includes four short double-helical elements and three loops (D, anti-codon, and T loops). Further hydrogen bonds mediate the characteristic L-shaped molecular structure. tRNAs have two regions of fundamental functional importance: the anti-codon, which is responsible for specific mRNA codon recognition, and the 3' end, to which the tRNAs corresponding amino acid is attached (by aminoacyl-tRNA synthetases). tRNAs cope with the degeneracy of the genetic code in two manners: having more than one tRNA (with a specific anti-codon) for a particular amino acid; and 'wobble' base-pairing, i.e. permitting non-standard base-pairing at the 3rd anti-codon position.
Source: RNAcentral